GGCACGGUGGUUUAGUGGUUAGCACGUUUGCUUCGCACCUCAGGGGUUGGGGGUCCGAAGCCCUCCUCCGCCC
This is a non-coding RNA of Pangasianodon gigas (Mekong giant catfish), 73 nucleotides long. Lineage: Eukaryota; Metazoa; Chordata; Actinopteri; Siluriformes; Pangasiidae. The record is from the annotation of a GenBank genome assembly.